CUCUUGACGUAGCGGCGGACGGGUGAGUAACACGUGGGUAACCUACCUAUAAGACUGGGAUAACUUCGGGAAACCGGAGCUAAUACCGGAUAAUAUUUCGAACCGCAUGGUUCGAUAGUGAAAGGUGGUUUUGCUAUCACUUAUAGAUGGACCCGCGCCGUAUUAGCUAGUUGGUAAGGUAACGGCUUACCAAGGCGACGAUACGUAGCCGACCUGAGAGGGUGAUCGGCCACACUGGAACUGAGACACGGUCCAGACUCCUACGGGAGGCAGCAGAC
This 278-nucleotide ribosomal RNA is filed under the name uncultured Staphylococcus sp. RNAcentral's name for it is "partial 16S ribosomal RNA". It matches the Rfam family "Bacterial small subunit ribosomal RNA", at positions 84 to 354 of the family's 1533-position model. Lineage: Bacteria; Bacillati; Bacillota; Bacilli; Caryophanales; Staphylococcaceae. The record is from RNAcentral.